RNAcentral lists this ribosomal RNA (1141 nucleotides) under Candidatus Synechococcus spongiarum. RNAcentral describes it as "bacterial SSU rRNA". It matches the Rfam family "Bacterial small subunit ribosomal RNA", at positions 376 to 1533 of the family's 1533-position model. Lineage: Bacteria; Bacillati; Cyanobacteriota; Cyanophyceae; Synechococcales; Synechococcaceae. The record is from RNAcentral.
CGAAAGCCUGACGGAGCAACGCCGCGUGAGGGAUGGAGGCCUUUGGGCUGUAAACCUCUUUUCUCAAGGAAGAAGAUCUGACGGUACUUGAGGAAUAAGCCACGGCUAAUUCCGUGCCAGCAGCCGCGGUAAUACGGGAGUGGCAAGCGUUAUCCGGAAUUAUUGGGCGUAAAGCGUCCGCAGGCGGCCGUUCAAGUCUGUUGUUAAAUCGUGGAGCUCAACUCCAUCACGGCAAUGGAAACUGUUCGGCUUGAGUAUGGUAGGGGCAGAGGGAAUUUCCGGUGUAGCGGUGAAAUGCGUAGAUAUCGGGAAGAACACCAGUGGCGAAAGCGCUCUGCUGGGCCAUUACUGACGCUCAUGGGCGAAAGCCAGGGGAGCGAAAGGGAUUAGAUACCCCUGUAGUCCUGGCCGUAAACGAUGAACACUAGAUGUUGGGGGAAUCGACCCCCUCGGUGUCGUAGCUAACGCGUUAAGUGUUCCGCCUGGGGAGUACGCACGCAAGUGUAAAACUCAAAGGAAUUGACGGGGGCCCGCACAAGCGGUGGAGUAUGUGGUUUAAUUCGAUGCAACGCGAAGAACCUUACCAAGGCUUGACAUCCUGCGAAUCUCUAAGAAAUUAGAGAGUGCCUUCGGGAACGCAGUGACAGGUGGUGCAUGGCUGUCGUCAGCUCGUGUCGUGAGAUGUUGGGUUAAGUCCCGCAACGAGCGCAACCCACGUUUUUAGUUGCCAGCAUUCAGUUGGGCACUCUAGAAAGACUGCCGGUGACAAACCGGAGGAAGGUGUGGACGACGUCAAGUCAUCAUGCCCCUUACGCCUUGGGCUACACACGUACUACAAUGCUGCGGACAAAGAGUAGCGAUCCUGCGAAAGUUAGCUAAUCUCAUAAACCGUGGCUCAGUUCAGAUCGUAGGCUGCAACUCGCCUACGUGAAGGAGGAAUCGCUAGUAAUCGCAGGUCAGCAUACUGCGGUGAAUACGUUCCCGGGCCUUGUACACACCGCCCGUCACACCAUGGAAGUUGGCCAUGCCCGAAGUCGUUACUCUAACCUUUUGGAAGAGGGCGCCGAAGGCAGGGCUAAUGACUGGGGUGAAGUCGUAACAAGGUAGCCGUAGCGGAAGCUGCGGCUGGAUCACCUCCUAA